CUACUCCUCGAGGUAGUCGAUUUUCAAAAUAGAGUUUCCGUGUGGGAAACAGCUUUCAAAAGGUUUUUGAAUAGUUUUCAUGAAUGAAUGAAUUAGAGUUUAAAAUCAAAGCUUCCGGGUAGGGAGCACUUUUAAAUAGGAUGAUUGUUGUACUGUGCAUUGCAUCAUCCAGCGCCUAAGGAGUGCUUAGAGGCAUGCAUCAUCUCUAAGGAUCGAUAGCUGUAUGGAAAUGUAUAUCAUGAAUUGCUUGUUGAUUGAUAAAUAUAGGUUGUAGUUGAGAUCCUGUUGUAUGGUUGGUACGCCGUGCAAAUACAAAGGAGACUCUGUCCGAGUGGACAGAUGAACUUUGUAUUUGUGGCGGGUCUGUACGUCACGUGGGCCAGGUUGAAAAAAAAAAGGGGGCACAUCCUCCGCCAAAAUGGUAAUGGAUUUUAAAAAGGCUUUUAAAAUCGGCCA
This 456-nucleotide long non-coding RNA is filed under the name Ananas comosus (pineapple). Its description in RNAcentral is "long non-coding RNA (ACOM_LNC026495)". The record is from RNAcentral. Lineage: Eukaryota; Viridiplantae; Streptophyta; Magnoliopsida; Poales; Bromeliaceae.